RNAcentral lists this ribosomal RNA (446 nucleotides) under Vibrio pectenicida. RNAcentral's name for it is "partial 23S ribosomal RNA". It matches the Rfam family "Bacterial large subunit ribosomal RNA", at positions 1 to 490 of the family's 2925-position model. Lineage: Bacteria; Pseudomonadati; Pseudomonadota; Gammaproteobacteria; Vibrionales; Vibrionaceae. The record is from RNAcentral.
GUUGUAUGGUUAAGUGACUAAGCGUACACGGUGGAUGCCUUGGCAGUCAGAGGCGAUGAAAGACGUAGUAACUUGCGAUAAGCCCAGAUUAGGUAGUAACAACCGUUUGAGUCUGGGAUGUCUGAAUGGGGAAACCCACGUGCAUAAGCACGUAUCAUUAACUGAAUACAUAGGUUAAUGAGGCAAACCGGGGGAACUGAAACAUCUAAGUACCCCGAGGAAAAGAAAUCAACCGAGAUUCCGAAAGUAGCGGCGAGCGAAAUUGGAUUAGCCCUUAAGCUUUACACGCGUUAGACGAACAGCCUGGAAAGGCCGACAAUAAAGGGUGAUAGUCCCGUAGUCGACGACGUGUGUUCAGUGAAAUCGAGUAGGACGGGACACGUGAUAUCCUGUCUGAAUAUGGGGGGACCAUCCUCCAAGGCUAAAUACUACUGACUGACCGAUAG